UUGUGGAGGAGGACGCCGAAGGUGGGGCUAAUGACUGGGGUGAAGUCGUAACAAGGUAGCCGUACCGGAAGGUGCGGCUGGAUCACCUCCUAACAGGGAGACAACAAAAUGUUAAAUAUUAAUUUUGUCACCUUAGGUCGAUCGGUAUCUCACAUUCUUAAUUUAUUAAGAAUUUUAUUUCCUAAGUUUUUUCUAGGUCACACCCAUUACUUUUCCUGGGCCAUUAGCUCAGGUGGUUAGAGCGCACCCCUGAUAAGGGUGAGGUCCCUGGUUCAAGUCCAGGAUGGCCCAUAUCUCUAUGUUGGGGGUAUAGCUCAGUUGGUAGAGCGCCUGCUUUGCAAGCAGGAUGUCAGCGGUUCGAGUCCGCUUACCUCCACUGAUCACCGCCUCUUCCAUAAUUUAUAGAAGGGAAUUGUUUUGAGUUGUGAUCAAAACCUGAACGAAUCUAGCUUCCUAAUCAAAUUUAUUAAGAUGCUGGACUCAUUGAAUUAAUUUCAUUGUUUUCAGAGAACCUUGACAACUGCAUAGAUUAUUUUUAAAGACAAUAAGCAUCUUUAAUGAUGCAGAUUUAUUAUUUGUGCGAAUGCAUUAAAUAACAAUUCUAUUAAGCUGAUGCUUCAAUUUUGAAGUUAUUGGUCAAGCUACAA
This 647-nucleotide unclassified non-coding RNA is filed under the name uncultured Prochlorococcus sp. RNAcentral's name for it is "partial 16S-23S ribosomal RNA intergenic spacer; may also contain 16S ribosomal RNA and 23S ribosomal RNA". The stretch from base 304 to 376 matches the Rfam family "tRNA". The record is from RNAcentral. Lineage: Bacteria; Bacillati; Cyanobacteriota; Cyanophyceae; Synechococcales; Prochlorococcaceae.